This is a non-coding RNA of Desarmillaria ectypa, 78 nucleotides long. The record is from the annotation of a GenBank genome assembly. NCBI's taxonomy places the organism in Eukaryota, Fungi, Basidiomycota, Agaricomycetes, Agaricales, Physalacriaceae.
UCUCUGAUAGUAUAUCGGUUAGUACACGCGCCUGUCAUUGGGACGCGCGAAAGCUGGGUUCGACUCCCAGUCAGAGAG